CAGUAGCCACGGUAAUACGUAGGGUGCAAGCGUUAAUCGGAAUUACUGGGCGUAAAGCGUGCGCAGGCGGUUUGUUAAGACAGAUGUGAAAUCCCCGGGCUCAACCUGGGAACUGCAUUUGUGACUGGCAAGCUAGAGUGUGGCAGAGGGGGGUGGAAUUCCGCGUGUAGCAGUGAAAUGCGUAGAUAUGCGGAGGAACACCGAUGGCGAAGGCAAUCCCCUGGGCCUGCACUGACGCUCAUGCACGAAAGCGUGGGGAGCAAACAGGAUUAGAUACCCGCGUAGUCCCUGUCUCUUAUAC
RNAcentral lists this ribosomal RNA (301 nucleotides) under uncultured bacterium. RNAcentral describes it as "partial 16S ribosomal RNA". It matches the Rfam family "Bacterial small subunit ribosomal RNA", at positions 509 to 807 of the family's 1533-position model. The record is from RNAcentral.